Long non-coding RNA from Homo sapiens (human), 5635 nucleotides. RefSeq lists it as uncharacterized. The transcript has 3 exons. The record is from RefSeq and is a predicted model, not a curated record. Lineage: Eukaryota; Metazoa; Chordata; Mammalia; Primates; Hominidae.
AAGUGCUGGGAUUACAGGUGUGAGCCACUGUGCCCGGCCUCAAAAACAUUUUUUUAAGUUGGCUUGCUUAAGUCAGAAUCCCAACAAAGUCCACACACUACCUCUGUGUUAAGUCUGUUAAAUCUCCUCUUACCUGUGGUGGGUUCUCGUCCUUCCCCCUGUGCUGCUGAUCUAUUGCUGAAACUGUGUCAUUUGCUCUGUAGUAUAUUCCUCUGUCUCCCACAUUUCUCUAAAUGGAAGUUAAAUCUAGAUGCUUGAUUUCAGUCGAGGUUAGCUUUGAGGUGGGGACUGGGGGCAGGAACAGUUCAUAGGUGGCACAGUGCUUCCUAUCACAUCAUGUCUAGCUGUCCUACUUUGGGUGGGUUCAGGUGAUGACAGCCUCAUUCCUCUAUUGUAAGGGUUCUCAUCAAUCUUUAAUCUAAAGGUUUUAUUUAUUGAUCACUGUCUGAAUCAAAAUUUCAUUAGGGGUUGCAAAGCGAUAAUCUUUUUCUAAUCCUAUUAACAUCUUCUGUAUUUAUUAGCCUAAAUGAUUUUGUAAAGGAGAAUUCUCUUUUAUCAAUUAGUGCUGCUUUGUUACUCUGAAAUACAGCUUUUACAAGAAGGGCAGAAUGAAUGAAUGCUAAUUCUUUCCUUUCAAUUUCAAAACAGGGAAUUUGUUCACUAAAUACUUCGAAUGGUGGCCCAAUGAGAAUUUGUGUGUGGGGAAGGUGGGGGAUGGGAUCAAUAUGAACCUAUAAAUUUUGAUAUAUUCAAUGCAUUUUUUGUUUGUGUUUUGAGAUUGAGUCUCACUCUGUGGGCCAGGCUGGAGUGCAGUGGCACAAUCUCGGCUCAUUGAAACCUCCACCUCCUGGGUUCAAGCAAUUCUCGUGCCUCGGCCUCCUGAGUUGCUGAGAUUACAGGCACCUGCCCCUACGCCCGGCUAAUGUUUAUAUUUUUAGUAGAGAUAGGGUUUUGCCACAUUGGCCAGGCUGGUCUUGAACUCCUGAUCUCAAGUGAUCUGCACACCUUGGCCUUCCAAAAGUGCUGGGAUUACAGGCGUAAGCCACCACGCCCAGCCUAUUCAACGCAUUUCAAUCAGUUGCAUUAUUAUUCUUUUGGAUGCUCAAAUGUUCUCAUCUUUGGCCACAGGAAGUCUUUCCUGUGGACUCCUGUGUCCUUUUGAUAGGAUCCAUUGGUUUUGGUCGCUUCUUUACUUUCCGGCACAAAAUAUGACUCACCAUGAAUAGUUCUUAUCCCCGAUCUGGAAUCAGCUAUUCCUCCAAGGAGCCUUCACUGGAGAAAAUAUUGUUGAUUUAUAUUCUAUUCUAGUCCUUUUUCUUUCUUUUUUGAGACAGGGUCUCACUCUGUCACCCCGACUGGAAUGCAGUGGCGCGAUCUCGGCUCACUGCAACCUCCACCUCCCAGGCUCAGGCGAUUUCUCCUGCCUCAGCCUCCCAAAUAGCUGGGAUUACAGGCGCAUGCCACUCCUGCAUGGCUAAUUUUUGUAGUUUUAGCAGAGACAGGGUUUCGCCAUGUUGGCCAGGAUGGUCUUGAACUCCUAACCUAAAAUGAGCUCCUGACCUCCUGCCAUGGCCUCCUAAAUUGCUGAGAUUACAGGCAUGAGCCACCACACCUGGCCUAUUCUAGUCCUUUUCCUUCUAUCUCCAUGCUGCUUUCUCAAAGGGAUGAAGAGGAGAAAUAGUGAGAGAAGGGAAAAAAUGAGAAGGAGGCUAGUAGUUAUUAGAAUUGGUAAUAGAUUGACAUUCUUCAGACCCUGUUUACUAGUGGGUGAAAUCUCUCUGCCCGAGGUUCCUGCUUAUGUCCCACUCUGGCUUUAUCUGUGGGAUCUCUUGCCUUUUUGCCCCUUUUCUGUCUUUGUUCUUAGCCACGUUUUCUCCACAUGGCAAGCAACACACCUGGGGCAGGGACCGUCGCCACCAUUCCUAGAGGGUGGGGCAUCCUCCUUGCUAUCUCCAUUCCACUUGCAACUAGGUACAGAGGUGCAGUCCUGCAGACUCUGUGCCUACGGCUAGUUGGGAAAGUGCAUCAGCUUCUGCUCUGCAGGCCUAGCCAUAUCCUUGAGGUGCACCCACAUGUGAGGGUGCUAAAUCUUAAGCUUUCAAUGGGAGCUAGGAAACUCACUUUGGUCUUAGAUCUGAGGCAUGUUUUCCAACAUAGUAAACCAGAAUCCUUGCAUUUGAGGAAACAUUUGGUGUGGGCCUGGAAUAAUAGUGAAGUUCUUCAUGACUCUAUUGGCCUGUGAUUCUUGGGUGUCUGCACCACAGGCCAGAACCCAGGAGGGGCACAAGGAAGAGUGGCACCUAAAACUAACAACACCACCCAAUGGUAGUACACCAACCAAAGCAUUAGAGAUGAGUGCCAACCACAGUGGGUUAGCAGAGUAGCUCAUUAACUUCAAGGUCACAGUUAUUGGCAAAGAGCCUUGGUUUUUCUGAGCCUCAGAGUUGAAGAGUUGAUGGAAAACUCUUCAGGAUGAGAGGCUAAUAAAUAGUUUAAAUCUAAAAGUAAUCUAUUUCUCCAGAGAUAUCUCCCAAGGUUAAAGGAUACUGAAUUUCAAUAGCCAGCUAUAUGGUUCUCCUGGAAGUAGCCUAGUAAUGGCAAAUUAACAAAAAUAAAAUUAUUUUAAAACUACAUAAAAGAUAAGAGUCUAGAAAUCAAUAAUUAACAAAAAUGGGGAGCACAGGGGGCUGUUCUCAAACCAGUAGCAAUGAAUUGUGCCAUAUACCCCUGUUUACCUGGAUAUUGGUAGUGGUUACCUUGGAUUUACUUCCUGUGCAAAAAUAAUUCUAAGGAUUCUGAGGUUUAAGUUCAUACUUCCCCCUACCCCUGGAAAUGAAUCUUUUAUCCAGUUACUUUCUUACAUAUGAUUGCUUUUGAUCUUACAACACCUCUGGGCAGCAAAAUCAUUGCCUUUCCAAGAAUGAGGAUACUGAACCUUGAAAAAGUUGAUGGACUGACUUGUCCAGUUAGAAUGCAGAAGCACCAGGAUUCAAGACUAGAAUAUCUGACCUCGUUUGCUGUGUUCUUUCCACCAAAUCAUGAUUUUUUUUUUUUUCGACAUGUAAUCUCCUAGCUGGUCAGGCAGCCUUUAUUCAUUUCCAACUGCCCAACCAACUAAAGAUGAAUAAUUAAUCAUGCCCACUGGGUUUCUUCUCAUCAGAGCCCUUUGUGGCUUUCCAAGAACAUCUGCAUAAAGUCCUGCUCCAUGCUCCUAUGGCUCACCAACCUGUCAGUUGGCUUUGCAUUCUACCCUAGCCUGUGUAAAGCAAAAUUUUUCUUGUAGGGUCUGUCUUUUGUGCUGACUAGAGGAUGCCCCCGGAGAACCUGGACCAUGAACACAGUUGCAAGGUUUUUCUGUUCUAAAAGAGCCAGUGAGCUUCUCGGAACAUAACACUCAGGGCUAGGAUACAGUUCUACAAAGCUCAGUUCAAUUUUAACUAUUUGUCAGCAUGUGCUACAAUUGCUUCUAACCCUCCUGAGAACAGAAGCUUUCACAGGAGGCAGGGUGGGUUCACCAUGAUUCACAUUCAACCUUGUUUUAUAUUUCUAAGCAAGUCUACCGACAUGUUUGAAGAACAUCCUCAAGGCCAAGAUCAGAAACCCGAUGCUUAUGUUUUCAGUUUUGACACAUGUGAAAGGCUUUAACUGCAGAGCCAACUCUCCCCACUUGGAUUUUAAGGGCAAUUGCAUCUGCUGUCUUGAGCAAGUCAUGGCAAUUGACAGCCAUCCCAGAAGCAGUCCUCAAGCUCUGACAGCUCCCUAUGGCUCACUCCCUUGUCCCAAUGGCCUUGAGAACCAAACUGACACCUACUUCUCAGAAACAGUUUUCCCAUAAAUCACCAGGCAUUUUGGUUUACUCAUGACAGAUACCACUGGGGUAGCCCCAUUCCUUUAACUCUGACAAUUUAAGUAAUGCCAGUUUUGAGGACAAUCCUAUACUACCUAUGGUGCUGGAAGAAAACGAAAUAGAAUACAGUCUUCUAAACUGGAAGCCUACAGCCCAAGAAGAAGCAAUCUCAGUUUAUACUACUAGAAACUCAGGGGUUUUGAGAGGAAUUGGGUCAGAAGGCAGCUGCUGCCUUCCUGUCUGGGGAGUCUUCUUGGCUGAGGAGAGAAAGGAAGAGCUGCUCCAAAUGCCACCUCCUGCUUCAUUCUGGCAACAGUGUGGCACCAAGAGCUGGAAAAAAUGAGGGCUCAACAAUGAGAGAAUCAGUAGCUGGGAUUUUGGCUGUAAGUAUAAGCAAGCCAGGGGCUACCCUGGCCCUUGGGGAGCUGAGUCCCAACCAAAAAAGUUACACAGUUUUUAAGAUCUGUGGCAGACUUAGGUGCUGCCUUUCUCAUUCAUCCCAGAGCACCUUCACACAUCUACUGGUUCACAUAGUAACAAAAACGAAAGAGCUAGAUCAUUCUCCAAAUUCUCCAAGAGAUCAAACCAAGCUGCAAGCAAGCAGCUAGUCCCCUAGUUAUUGCCAGCUCCAUUGCUGGUCUUUUGCACUUGCCCCAGCCACCACCAAGCUGGCUGGCUGUGGCGGAGUCCCUGUUGCGGGUGUCUUUGCUCAGGCCUGCCUGCUGCCUGCUCACAGCACCCCUCCUGACUCAGCCUCUGCUUUCUAGCUCCCAGCUUGGCUCUGGCCUGGCCCUUCUCCAGCUUUUACCCUUUUCCCAAUUCCCUCUGCAACAGAUUGACCUCCGUUCCUCUCAGGACCAUGUGGGCCUCCUUGACUCAGGAACAUCCUGCAGCUCUGGGUGGGUGGCACACCCUCCACCCACCCUCGGGGCCUGUGGGACUGAAGGCCAGGCACACUGUCAUUCAGAAAGGAUGACAAGUUGCAACUAACCAAACUCCCACUGCACUCAGGGCUAACUGUCUUGAUUUUAUUUCCCCACUGUAGAAAUUGCCGAUGCCUGAUAUUACGAAGAGGCUGGGACAAGGAAAGAGCUCUCUGUACCCCAUCUGAGAGAGAGGAAGAGACAUGCCCUGGGCUAGAGUGUUACCAAUUUAAUCUUUUUUUUUUUUUUUUUUUUUUUUUAAUGAGACAGAGUUUCACUCUUGUUGCCCAAACUGGAGUGCAGUGGUGUGAUCUCGGCUCACCACAAUGUCCGCCUCCUGGGUUCAAGUGAUUCUCCUGCCUCUGCUUCCUGAGUAGCUGGGAUUACGGGCCUGCACCACCAUGCCUGGCUAAUUUUGUAUUUUUAGUAGAGAUGGGGUUUCUCCAUGUUGGUCAGGCUGGUCUCCAACUCCUAACCUCAAAUGAUCCACCCGCCUUGGCCUCCCAAAAUGCUGGGAUUACAGGCGCAAGUCACCGCGCCCAGCCUUCAAUUUAAUCUUUACUAUAGCCUUGCCUGACAAGUCAUAUGGCAGAACAACAGUGGAGGAGGAGGACGAUAGGACUGUUCUCCAAGAAUCUGGACAUGAGGGAAAUGGAGUGACCUUCAGAAAGUACACCAUUUUGUCAGGCAUGACAACUGGCUUUUCAGCUUCAGGAAUGAAUAUGGACAACUUGAAGGAAGGCUUGCCAAGAUCCCAGUGGAGCCUCAGAUGCAGCAGAUGAUGAGAAGGUUACUGACUUCCUACCCACAUCUGAAGGCAGGGUGUUGCUCCGAGUUGUUUGGCUGUAGUGCGGCCGCGAGCUGC